AUUGAACGCUGGCGGAAUGCUUUACACAUGCAAGUCGAACGGCAGCACGGGGGCAGCCCUGGUGGCGAGUGGCGAACGGGUGAGUAAUACAUCGGAACGUGCCCGGUCGUGGGGGAUAACGUAGCGAAAGUUACGCUAAUACCGCAUACGGUCUGAGGAUGAAAGCGGGGGACCUUCGGGCCUCGCGCGAUCGGAGCGGCCGAUGUCAGAUUAGGUAGUUGGUGGGGUAAAGGCCUACCAAGCCGACGAUCUGUAGCUGGUCUGAGAGGACGACCGGCCACACUGGGACUGAGACACGGCCCAGACUCCUACGGGAGGCAGCAGUGGGGAAGUUUGGACAAUGGGCGCAAGCCUGAUCCAGCCAUUCCGCGUGCAGGACGAAGGCCUUCGGGUUGUAAACUGCUUUUGUACGGAACGAAAAGGCUCUGGCUAAUACCUGGGGCUCAUGACGGUACCGUAAGAAUAAGCACCGGCUAACUACGUG
This 484-nucleotide ribosomal RNA is filed under the name uncultured bacterium. RNAcentral's name for it is "partial 16S ribosomal RNA". It matches the Rfam family "Bacterial small subunit ribosomal RNA", at positions 29 to 507 of the family's 1533-position model. The record is from RNAcentral.